UGGGGAAUAUUGCACAAUGGGCGCAAGCCUGAUGCAGCGACGCCGCGUGAGGGACGACGGCCUUCGGGUUGUAAACCUCUUUCAGCAGGGAAGAAGCGUUAAGUGACGGUACCUGCAGAAGAAGCACCGGCUAACUACGUGCCAGCAGCCGCGGUAAUACGUAGGGUGCGAGCGUUGUCCGGAAUUAUUGGGCGUAAAGAGCUCGUAGGCGGCCGGUCACGUCGGGUGUGAAAGCCCGGGGCUCAACCCCGGGUCUGCAUUCGAUACGGGCCGGCUGGAGUUCGGUAGGGGAGAUCGGAAUUCCUGGUGUAGCGGUGAAAUGCGCAGAUAUCAGGAGGAACACCGGUGGCGAAGGCGGAUCUCUGGGCCGAUACUGACGCUGAGGAGCGAAAGCGUGGGGAGCGAACAGG
RNAcentral lists this ribosomal RNA (410 nucleotides) under uncultured bacterium. Its description in RNAcentral is "bacterial SSU rRNA". It matches the Rfam family "Bacterial small subunit ribosomal RNA", at positions 355 to 776 of the family's 1533-position model. The record is from RNAcentral.